Felis catus (domestic cat) is the source of this 441-nucleotide long non-coding RNA. RefSeq lists it as uncharacterized. The transcript is spliced from 3 exons. The record is from RefSeq and is a predicted model, not a curated record. NCBI's taxonomy places the organism in Eukaryota, Metazoa, Chordata, Mammalia, Carnivora, Felidae.
ACCUGCAAGAAACAGAAAUUCUUUGGCUGAUAAGCCCCUGCCCCCCAAUAUUGUGUGGACUAUGGAAACCUCCCUGAGAUUCAGUAAUCCAUGAUUAAAUUUAAUGAACACAUGAAUCCCCUGGGGAUCUUGUUAAAAGGCAGAUUCAGAUUCAGCAGGUCUAGGAUGGAGGGAAGAAGACAGGAAGCAGAUUUCCACCUCUACUCUUGAGCCUCCCUCUUAAAUGAUGCUUGGGGCAACAACCCUUCAAAAUUAGGAAACACUGGGAUAACCAUAGUCCAUAUGGCCAGAAUAUACAGAAUUCAAAUUUCUGUCCCUGCUAUUGACUGAUACAGUCAUUUUGAAUAUUACAAUUUCCCUCUGUUUUUAGAGGAAAUCAAAUAUUGCAUAAUAAACUGCAGUGCAAACAAAAUGCUGUUAUGCUUCUCAACAAUUAUAAAU